GACGAACGCUGGCGGCGUGCUUAACACAUGCAAGUCGAACGGAAAGGCCUUUUCGGGGGUACUCGAGUGGCGAACGGGUGAGUAACACGUGGGUGAUCUGCCCUGCACUCUGGGAUAAGCCUGGGAAACUGGGUCUAAUACCGGAUAGGACCGCACUUUAGUGUGUGUGGUGGAAAGUUUUUUCGGUGUAGGAUGAGCCCGCGGCCUAUCAGCUUGUUGGUGGGGUAAUGGCCUACCAAGGCGGCGACGGGUAGCCGGACUGAGGGGUUGGUCGGCCACAUUGGGACUGAGAUACGGCCCAGACUCCUACGGGAGGCAGCAGUGGGGAAUAUUGCACAAGGGGCGCAAGCCUGAUGCAGCGACGCCGCGUGGGGGAUGACGGCCUUCGGGUUGUAAACUCCUUUCGCCAGGGACGAAGCGUUUUGUGACGGUACCUGGAGAAGAAGCACCGGCUAACUACGUG
This 463-nucleotide ribosomal RNA is filed under the name uncultured bacterium. RNAcentral's name for it is "partial 16S ribosomal RNA". It matches the Rfam family "Bacterial small subunit ribosomal RNA", at positions 28 to 507 of the family's 1533-position model. The record is from RNAcentral.